UGGGGAAUCUUCCGCAAUGGACGCAAGUCUGACGGAGCAACGCCGCGUGAGUGAAGAAGGUUUUCGGAUCGUAAAGCUCUGUUGUUAAGGAAGAACGAGUGUGAGAAUGGAAAGUUCAUGCUGUGACGGUACUUAACCAGAAAGGGACGGCUAACUACGUGCCAGCAGCCGCGGUAAUACGUAGGUUCCGAGCGUUGUCCGGAUUUAUUGGGCGUAAAGCGAGCGCAGGCGGUUAGAUAAGUCUGAAGUUAAAGGCAGUGGCUCAACCAUUGUAGGCUUUGGAAACUGUUUAACUUGAGUGCAGAAGGGGAGGGUGGAAUUCCAUGUGUAGCGGUGAAAUGCGUAGAUAUAUGGAGGAACACCGGUGGCGAAAGCGGCUCUCUGGUCUGUAACUGACGCUGAGGCUCGAAAGCGUGGGGAGCGAACAGG
This 429-nucleotide ribosomal RNA is filed under the name Bacteroidota bacterium. RNAcentral's name for it is "Bacteroidetes bacterium partial 16S ribosomal RNA". It matches the Rfam family "Bacterial small subunit ribosomal RNA", at positions 355 to 776 of the family's 1533-position model. The record is from RNAcentral. Lineage: Bacteria; Pseudomonadati; Bacteroidota.